This 158-nucleotide ribosomal RNA is filed under the name Taiwania cryptomerioides. RNAcentral's name for it is "5.8S ribosomal RNA". It matches the Rfam family "5.8S ribosomal RNA". From Rfam's summary of the family: 5.8S ribosomal RNA (5.8S rRNA) is a component of the large subunit of the eukaryotic ribosome. It is transcribed by RNA polymerase I as part of the 45S precursor that also contains 18S and 28S rRNA. Functionally, it is thought that 5.8S rRNA may be involved in ribosome translocation. The record is from RNAcentral. Lineage: Eukaryota; Viridiplantae; Streptophyta; Pinopsida; Cupressales; Cupressaceae.
AACAUGACUCUCUGCAACAGAUAUCUCGACUCUUGCCAUGAUGAAGAAUGUAGCAAAAUAUGAUAGUGUGAAUUGUAUAAUCUCGUGAAUCAUUGAGUCUUUAAAUGCAAGUUGAACCUGAGGCUUUGACUGAGGGCACGUCUACUUGGGCAUCACAC